Molecule: ribosomal RNA, 431 nt
Filed under: uncultured bacterium
Lineage: Bacteria
Description: partial 16S ribosomal RNA
Rfam family: Bacterial small subunit ribosomal RNA
Source: RNAcentral
CCUACGGGAGGCAGCAGUGGGGAAUAUUGGACAAUGGGGGCAACCCUGAUCCAGCGAUGCCGCGUGUGCGAAGAAGGCCUGCGGGUUGUAAAGCACUUUGGUUGGGGAAGCGUUACCCAAAGAACAAGCACCGGCUAACUCUGUGCCAGCAGCCGCGGUAAUACAGAGGGUGCGAGCGUUAAUCGGAAUUACUGGGCGUAAAGGGUGCGUAGGCGGUUUUUUAAGUUAGAUGUGAAAUCCCCGGGCUUAACCUGGGAAUUGCAUUUAAGACUGGAAGGCUAGAGUAGAGUAGAGGGAAGUGGAAUUUCCGGUGUAGCGGUGAAAUGCGUAGAUAUCGGAAAGAACAUCAGUGGCGAAGGCGGCUUCCUGGACCAACUGACGCUGAGGCACGAAAGCAUGGGUAGCAAACAGGAUUAGAUACCCUAGUAGUC